CCCGUCGGCUGUACCCUCCAUACGUGCAUGUCGAGCGGUAAUGAGCCCUUCGGGGUACACGAGCGGCGAACGGGUGAGUAACACGUGGGUGAUCUGCCUCGCACUUCGGGAUAAGCCUGGGAAACUGGGUCUAAUACCGGAUAUGACCUGCUGUCGCAUGGCGGUGGGUGGAAAGAUUUAUCGGUGCGAGAUGGGCCCGCGGCCUAUCAGCUUGUUGGUGGGGUAAUGGCCUACCAAGGCGACGACGGGUAGCCGGCCUGAGAGGGCGACCGGCCACACUGGGACUGAGACACGGCCCAGACUCCUACGGGAGGCAGCAGUGGGGAAUAUUGCACAAUGGGCGAAAGCCUGAUGCAGCGACGCCGCGUGAGGGAUGACGGCCUUCGGGUUGUAAACCUCUUUCGACAGGGACGAAGCGUAAGUGACGGUACCUGUAGAAGAAGCACCGGCCAACUACGUGCCAGCAGCCGCGGUAAUACGUAGGGUGCGAGCGUUGUCCGGAAUUACUGGGCGUAAAGAGCUUGUAGGCGGUUUGUCGCGUCGUCCGUGAAAACUUGGGGCUCAACCCCAAGCUUGCGGGCGAUACGGGCAGACUUGAGUACUGCAGGGGAGACUGGAAUUCCUGGUGUAGCGGUGAAAUGCGCAGAUAUCAGGAGGAACACCGGUGGCGAAGGCGGGUCUCUGGGCAGUAACUGACGCUGAGAAGCGAAAGCGUGGGUAGCGAACAGGAUUAGAUACCCUGGUAGUCCACGCCGUAAACGGUGGGUACUAGGUGUGGGUUUCCUUCCACGGGAUCCGUG
Molecule: ribosomal RNA, 800 nt
Filed under: Nocardia asiatica
Lineage: Bacteria; Bacillati; Actinomycetota; Actinomycetes; Mycobacteriales; Nocardiaceae
Description: bacterial SSU rRNA
Rfam family: Bacterial small subunit ribosomal RNA
Source: RNAcentral